Molecule: RNA transcript, 2735 nt
Organism: Neodiprion fabricii
Lineage: Eukaryota; Metazoa; Arthropoda; Insecta; Hymenoptera; Diprionidae
Exons: 2
Source: RefSeq, a predicted model, not a curated record
CGCGGUCCAUUUCUUCAUUCACUCCCUCUGAAAGUUCGUCAAUGAAAUCAAAAUCGUAACGACGCGUUGCCGGACCCUUAUUCAGCGCGUCGCAUGAGAGUUUAAAUAACCGGUAGCUCUUUCCGUUUUACUAUUUAAACUAAAAAAUUCUGACUUGUCUGUGCCCGCGUAUUCAUCGGCGGUGGAAAACGCGUGUCUGGCAACCGUUCCCUUAGCUGAGAGCAUUGAGCCUGGGCUUGACUGUUGCUAUAUUGCCCGUAUCUAUACCUGCCUCGUGGCUGAUCAUAAAACCGUCUAUUGUCCGAAAAUCGUCUAUUUUCAUAUCGGUAACCAUUAUUUCGUUCCUGUUGCUCCAUAUUCACUUGUCGAGCUCGAACCGGCUGUCUCAUAGCCUCAUUCUGAUUUCCCGGUUGAUCAUCCCGAAAUUUUGCUCGUUCUCUACGUAUUCCGUCCAAACUCCCGAUCGUUUGGCCUAUCAACGCGUCAUUAUUAAAGUGAACUGUAGCUAAACGCCUCCCGUGUAGAAAUAUAAUGUGGUAUGCCAUAACUCUAAAAUGGGCCACAUCAGGCGAUUACAUGGCUUGCCGUAUUUGUUUCAAAAUUCACCGGUCAUUGUUUUUGCAUGUACGCUCAUGGAUAAAAAAAGUUUUUCCGUCAUUGUUUGUAUAAAAUAUUCUAUUUCACACUAUUCUUGAUCACGUUACUCGGAUCAUACGUGUCAUAGCGCUACUUUGGGCUCAUUAUGGCUGCCAGUUUCGCACUACUGUUCGGGUUCUAGAAUGGCGCUAGUGGUACAAUACGAAUAUCGUACUUCGGCUGAGAUCUGGCAGUCUCAUCUCCGCCAAUGUAUGGUUCGUGUCGCGCUUCUAGUGUGGCAUAGAAGCGGCAUUAGUUUUGUAAUUCAAUUACAUGCCUAUAUAUAUUUAAUGGCCCCCUAUUUUUGUCAUGUGUAAUUUAACUUUUAUCAUUACUUUAUGAAUUCUAUGUGUAAUUGGAUUCAUUUCGACUGAUCGGGUUUUCAGCCCAUGUGGCCACUGUCUGACAUAACCUAACUGCUUCUUUUAAUCCUGUUAAGUUCGAGUUUGAUCAGUAUUCAGCCAGUAGCUAAAAAAAUCCUUGUGGGGGAUUUCCAUAUCUUCUAUAACAUAUGUAUGCGCACAUCUCUCUUUUUUCUGCAAAUACUCUGAAUUAAGAAAAAACGAACUCAAAAAUGUGUGACAAACGAACAUUGAAUAGAGACAAGAUCAACGAAACGAGGCGAAGACAACGACAAAUUGUAAAGGCAAUGGCCCGUGAUAUUGAUAUGCGAUUAACGUCAGAUGAAACCUCGACAGACGAAUCAGGUGGAAUUUAUCAUCUAUUGACAAAUGUACGAAUUAAAAAAUCUAAAUGAAAAAUACAUUUGCAUGUAGAUGAUAGAACACGUGAACCUAGAGAAUGUUCAGAUCAUUGUGGUACAUCAGCUGAAGAACAUACUGAUCCAUCAAUGAUAGUAGAACAAGAGGAACAAAACAGUACGGACUAUACGACAGAAGAACAAGAAAAUGAGAAUAGCACACGUGAAUCUUCAACAGAGCAGGAGUAUGAGGAAAGAAGAAGUCGCACGUCAGAAUCUACAGACGACGAAGAAGAAAGAAAUGUAUAUCAGGAGCUUCGCGAAUGGGCUGUUGAAUUCAACAUUCCACACAGGAAUCUUGAAAAAUUAUUGGACAUUAUUCGCAGAAGAUUUUUACCUGAACUACCGAAAUCAGCGAAGACUUUUUGGAAAACGAAUUCUUGUACUUGUGUCAUCAGAGAAACAGAAAGUGGUCAGUUUGUUUAUUUCGGCUUAGAAAGUGGGCUUCGAGCUUAUAUAAUCGAACACCUGCAUCCGGGAAACCAAAUCUUUUUACAAGUUAAUGUAGAUGGGCUGUCAGUUUUCAAAUCAAGUUCAACGCAAUUUUGGCCCAUACUUUGUAAGGUGCAUUCUCCGCAAAUGGAUUUGUAUACACCGUUUAUUGUAGGUUGUUAUUGUGGGAAUUCUAAACCUCUGUCACGAGCGCCGCAUAUUUACACCGAAUAUCAUCAUAAACCAUGUCAAUAAUUAUUAAUAUCGCUUUAGAGACGAGGAAGCAUAGCUUAAAUAUGUUGGUCAAUCUAUAUAAAAUAUUUCUUACAAAACAGUUCGUGGCAUAACCAAAGCGCAACGGCGUAGUUGACGGACAGCAACGACAGCGUCUCCGCGGCCGCCAGAUCCCGGAUGUAAUCAACACCGGGAUGAGGCGAUCGCGAGAUCACGUGCUUCGAGGAUGACUGUCGCGGGGCGAGCCUUUGUUCCAAAAUUGUAAAUUCAGCGAAAACCUCUCUCACCGCCCGACGAUCCAAGGGGUGUCGGACGAGCGAGCGAAGUCAGUCUCGUUAGAGACAGAAUAAAAUCAACAUCUACGGAAACAGGCUCCUUCAAAGCUGUCGAGUAUAGAGUUGUCAGUCUUAGAGUCAUCGACGAAUAGAGAGUGAAUUCCUCUAAUUCUACACGCGGUGUUCAAAGCGUCUCGCGUCGCGACGUCAGUCUUUCGAAGCUAGAAUAUAAGAGUAGAAAGCUGUGCCACGAACUUAAUCAAGUUGUGUAGUAAUAAGAAUAGUGAUAAUUGAGAGAGAGUGAGAAUUCGGAGUAGAAACCACCAAAAAAGUGAGUAGAUGUAUGAACGAGAACCACUAGGUUAAGAACAUUAAUGUAAGCUUCCUCGUCUUAGAUA